AUAUAAUAUCAUUGAGAGUUUUGCAGGAAGGUGAAGUGAAUAGGAAACUAAGCACUGGCUGCUGCUGCUUCCUCGACAACCUGGUUCGUUGGCUGUAGGGUGCAAAUCAGGUUGCGAUCACCAUACACAUUGUCAACACGUCCUGUUGAUGGCCAGAACUUGGAAGCCCUGAGCCAGGAAGCUGGAAAAGCUGCAUAUUCCCUAGAGUAUGGCUUUGUCCAUGCAUCUCCCAUUAGCAAAGAUGGUG
Molecule: unclassified non-coding RNA, 247 nt
Filed under: Hevea brasiliensis (rubber tree)
Lineage: Eukaryota; Viridiplantae; Streptophyta; Magnoliopsida; Malpighiales; Euphorbiaceae
Source: RNAcentral